UGACAGUUUGUCCGAGUGGUUAAGGAGGUUGACUCGAAAUCAACUGGGCUUUGCCCGCACAGGUUCAAAUCCUGUAGCUGUCGU
Molecule: transfer RNA, 84 nt
Filed under: Plasmodium ovale (malaria parasite P. ovale)
Lineage: Eukaryota; Apicomplexa; Aconoidasida; Haemosporida; Plasmodiidae
Description: Ser transfer RNA (cga)
Rfam family: tRNA
About the family: Transfer RNA (tRNA) molecules are approximately 80 nucleotides in length. Their secondary structure includes four short double-helical elements and three loops (D, anti-codon, and T loops). Further hydrogen bonds mediate the characteristic L-shaped molecular structure. tRNAs have two regions of fundamental functional importance: the anti-codon, which is responsible for specific mRNA codon recognition, and the 3' end, to which the tRNAs corresponding amino acid is attached (by aminoacyl-tRNA synthetases). tRNAs cope with the degeneracy of the genetic code in two manners: having more than one tRNA (with a specific anti-codon) for a particular amino acid; and 'wobble' base-pairing, i.e. permitting non-standard base-pairing at the 3rd anti-codon position.
Source: RNAcentral